AUUGAACGCUGGCGGCAUGCCUAACACAUGCAAGUCGAACGGCAGCACAGCAGUAGCAAUACUGUGGGUGGCGAGUGGCGGACGGGUGAGGAAUACGUCGGAAUCUGCCCAGUCGUGGGGGAUAACUAGCCGAAAGGUUAGCUAAUACCGCAUACGACCGAGAGGUGAAAGCGGGGGACCGCAAGGCCUCGCGCGAUUGGAUGAGCCGACGUCGGAUUAGCUAGUUGGCGGGGUAAAGGCCCACCAAGGCGACGAUCCGUAGCUGGUCUGAGAGGAUGACCAGCCACACUGGAACUGAGACACGGUCCAGACUCCUACGGGAGGCAGCAGUGGGAAUAUUGGACAAUGGGCGCAAGCCUGAUCCAGCAAUGCCGCGUGUGUGAAGAAGGCCUUCGGGUUGUAAAGCACUUUAUCAGGACGAAAGACGUUGGAUUAAUAACUCUGACGUGC
Molecule: ribosomal RNA, 450 nt
Filed under: uncultured bacterium
Lineage: Bacteria
Description: bacterial SSU rRNA
Rfam family: Bacterial small subunit ribosomal RNA
Source: RNAcentral